RNAcentral lists this long non-coding RNA (2438 nucleotides) under Bos taurus (domestic cattle). RNAcentral describes it as "long non-coding RNA NONBTAT000632". Lineage: Eukaryota; Metazoa; Chordata; Mammalia; Artiodactyla; Bovidae. The record is from RNAcentral.
ACAUGUCUGAUAAAUAAAAGAUCUGUAACACUAAACACUUGAGCGUUACAGUCUGACCCAUGAAGUUGCGCCCACUGAAUGCCCAGCUUGGAGCAGGUACGUCUCAGUCUGCAGUGUGUUUAGCAUCCCCUCUCUAAGCGCUUGACUGCAUGCUGGAAGCCGUUUGUUCUCUGGCAUGCUCUGAAGUUAUGGCUGGGACCUUCCCCUCAUAUCUAGUGAAUGAAUUAUACAAUGUACAUGUCUGUGAAACUUUGGGGUAGUGCCUAUAAUCAGAAAACAACUAGAACCGUUUUGUUUUCAUUCGAGUCAUUACUGCUUGCCACUACGAAAUGUGCUUGAAUUUAAUAAGUAUGUGUAUAUUGUAGAGAAGCUACCUUAACUGGGGCUCAACCUCAAUCCUAUUUUAACAAAACUGGACAGUUCUGAGGAAGGGAAAGCUCAGUAGCUAGUCAAUGACAGGUACCUUUCACAGUACCAUUCUCAGAACACCCUGAGUAAGGAGUUUGCCAGGAACUAUUCUUGCUUAGGGACCUGAAGCCAGUCUAGUGCACAGAAGUAGAGAAUCUGUUCUUGAAAGCACAUGGAAGGUGUUACUCUAGAAAUGGAGUUUGGAAGAACAAUCAGGAAUGGGUUUAUGUACCCUUAUUAUUUUACUUUCACGUUCUUAUUCAGCUCUUCUGUUUGUAUACUUUUCCUUAUUAUGGUGCUAUGUAAUUCCCACCAAGUUGUAAGUCCAGAGGCAGUGAAAUGUUCCAGUUGGGCAGUCAUAAACUAAAAGUAGUAUCGUCCCCGCAUUUUGGAGCAGCCAAGAAAUACUUUGGACAUAUGGACAUUGUCUAAUUAACGUCUUGUCUACAUACUAUAAUUGCUAAACUGUGCAUUUAAGACUUUUCAAGAGUUGGAUGAAAAUGUAAAGCCCAAGUUUAGACAUGCAUUAGAUUUUAAAUAUACAGUGUUCUUUACGGAAACAUUUUCCCUUUUUUUUUUUUAAUUGGUUGAUCUUUUAAAAGUCUAGCUUACUAGCUUACUGACUGGUUAUCAACUAAAGUAUAAUUACGAAUAUUAGAAGGGUGUCAUAAUGGAAAACUUUUAAAUGCUCAUUUUAAUAGAAGCUUGAAAAUAAAGAUGAAAAUGAGAAGAAAAUAUGCAGCCUGAAAUUUAAUGCAAGCAGAUGUAUAAUACAUUAAUUUUGAAUUGAUCAUUAAAAUUCUGCUUCUUAAAGGCAGCACUCUUGACUUGGGUGUGGUGAGAUUAGAAUCUAUUCCUGUAUUUGAUAAACAAAACAUGUGGGAAGAUUAUUUUUCAUGCCUUUUUCUCUUAUUUUUCCAAAAUGUUUUUCUACCAUAAAAUAGAAUCAGUGUGGGUUAUAUUAGCCUUAUUACUUAAGUUGAGUAAGAUUUUUUUCAUUUGUGUUUGAAAUAGUUACAGAAGAUGGGAUGAGAAAUGCAAAUUUUCCAGGACUGCUGGAUUGGGAGUUUUAUUCAGUCCUCUCUAUUAUAAUUUUUCACUAUUUAUGAAAAACAAUCUGUCACAAAUAGUGGUCAUGCAUCAAAUUGAACUUUGACAGCAAGAACGCAGUGAACAACUCCCUUCUCAAAAAGGGUCUCAACCCCAGUGUGUGUUUUUGUCCGUCAACAUUUAAAAUGCUCAUUGCAGAUAAGUAAGGCAUGCACUGUGUCCUUCAGUCACCUCUCUCAGUAACUGGUUUCUUUAUCUCUAAUGUGAAUUCAUUUCUCUUUGGAAGUGGUGGUGUUCGUUUAUGGACUGAGAACAUCUAACCCCACCGGAUAUCACAUCUUCUUAUAAGGUGUGGAUGAGGAAGGUGGUGUUUUGGUGGGUAUUUUGUCAGACUUAACCACUUUCAUUUCCGGGCAGAGUCAAAGGCAUCAUCUGCCCCCCUCCAACCCCUACCUGAUUGGGUGUUUCAGUUCCCCCCCUUCGGGGACCACCUUCUGGCAGAGAAUUCUUUGAGAUAUGCAGUAGUGCUGUAUCGACACAAGCUGCUAAUCUGCAUCUUGCUGUGUUCUGUUUGCUAAGGUUGGGGUCAUUCAUUUAACACGUACUGACAGUUUUCAGAGGCUCCGUAUAGAGUUAGUCAUGGAAUAAAGCACAUCCACCUGUUGGAAACGUUUCUCUGGAGCAAACUUCCAACAGGAAGGGCUUAGAAGGUGUAGCUUUGAGGCAUGUGAAGAGAUUGUGCCCUCACUUCCACUUGUGUUUUUGGUUAUUCAUUUAUAAUAAAAGGUUGGCAUCGAUGUGGUACAACCUACAAAUUAGUUUCAAUUCUGAGUUUUGGAUAAAGCAUUGUAAGACAAAAUCGGUACAUACCGCUCCUUUGAAAUUUGGGUAAAAAAUUAUACAACCAUAUAUAAAGUCAUUUUUAUAUUUUUUCUAUGUUGUGAAAACCAAAACUGUAAUUUUAUAAGUCUUUGAUUCAC